GACGAACGCUGGCGGCGUGCUUAACACAUGCAAGUCGAACGGAAAGGCCCUGCUUUUGUGGGGUGCUCGAGUGGCGAACGGGUGAGUAACACGUGAGUAACCUGCCCUUGACUUUGGGAUAACUUCAGGAAACUGGGGCUAAUACCGGAUAGGAGCUCCUGCUGCAUGGUGGGGGUUGGAAAGUUUCGGCGGUGGGGGAUGGACUCGCGGCUUAUCAGCUUGUUGGUGGGGUAGUGGCUUACCAAGGCUUUGACGGGUAGCCGGCCUGAGAGGGUGACCGGCAACAUUGGGACUGAGAUACGGCCCAGACUCCUACGGGAGGCAGCGGUGGGGAAUAUUGCACAAUGGGCGGAAGCCGGAUGCAGCAACGCCGCGGGCGGGAUGCCGGCCUUCGGGUGGUAAACCGCUUUCGCCUGUGACGAAGCGUGAGUGACGGUAAUGGGUAAAGAAGCACCGGCUAACUACGUG
RNAcentral lists this ribosomal RNA (468 nucleotides) under uncultured bacterium. RNAcentral describes it as "partial 16S ribosomal RNA". It matches the Rfam family "Bacterial small subunit ribosomal RNA", at positions 28 to 507 of the family's 1533-position model. The record is from RNAcentral.